Molecule: ribosomal RNA, 792 nt
Filed under: uncultured archaeon
Lineage: Archaea
Description: bacterial SSU rRNA
Rfam family: Archaeal small subunit ribosomal RNA
Source: RNAcentral
ACUGCUCAGUAACACGUGGAUAACCUGCCCUUGGGACCGGUAUAACCCCGGGAAACUGGGGAUAAUUCCGGAUACCGCAUAUAUGCUGGAAUGCUUUAUGCGUCAAAUGGAUUCGUCCGCCCAAGGAUGGGUCUGCGGCCUAUCAGGUAGUAGUGGGUGUAAUGUACCUACUAGCCUACAACGGGUACGGGUUGUGAGAGCAAGAGCCCGGAGAUGGAUUCUGAGACAUGAAUCCAGGCCCUACGGGGCGCAGCAGGCGCGAAAACUUUACAAUGCGGGAAACCGUGAUAAGGGGACACCGAGUGCUAGCAUCAUAUGCUGGCUGUCCAGGUGUGUAAAAUACACCUGUUAGCAAGGGCCGGGCAAGACCGGUGCCAGCCGCCGCGGUAACACCGGCGGCCCGAGUGGUGAUCGUGAUUAUUGGGUCUAAAGGGUCCGUAGCCGGUUUGGUCAGUCCUCCGGGAAAUCUGAUAGCUCAACUAUUAGGCUUUCGGGGGAUACUGCCAGGCUUGGAACCGGGAGAGGUAAGAGGUACUACAGGGGUAGGAGUGAAAUCUUGUAAUCCCUGUGGGACCACCUGUGGCGAAGGCGUCUUACCUGAACGGGUUCGACGGUGAGGGACGAAAGCUGGGGGCACGAACCGGAUUAGAUACCCGGGUAGUCCCAGCCGUAAACGAUGCUCGCUAGGUGUCAGGCAUGGCGCGACCGUGUCUGGUGCCGCAGGGAAGCCGUGAAGCGAGCCACCUGGGAAGUACGGCCGCAAGGCUGAAACUUAAAGGAAUUGGCGGGGGA